CCUACGGGUGGCUGCAGUGAGGAAUAUUGGUCAAUGGGCGCGAGCCUGAACCAGCCAAGUCGCGUGAAGGAUGACUGCCCUACGGGUUGUAAACUUCUUUUGUAAGGGAAUAAAGUGAGGCACGUGUGCAUUUUUGUAUGUACCUUAUGAAUAAGGGUCGGCUAACUCCGUGCCAGCAGCCGCGGUAAUACGGAGGAUCCGAGCGUUAUCCGGAUUUAUUGGGUUUAAAGGGAGCGUAGGUGGGUUGUUAAGUCAGGUGUGAAAGUUUGCGGCUCAACCGUAAAAUUGCAAUUGAUACUGGCAGCCUUGAGUACAGUUGAGGUAGGCGGAAUUCGUGGUGUAGCGGUGAAAUGCUUAGAUAUCACGAAGAACUCCGAUUGCGAAGGCAGCCUACUAAGCUGCCACUGACGUUGAUGCUCGAAAGUGUGGGUAUCAAACAGGAUUAGAUACCCGUGUAGUC
This 460-nucleotide ribosomal RNA is filed under the name uncultured bacterium. RNAcentral describes it as "partial 16S ribosomal RNA". It matches the Rfam family "Bacterial small subunit ribosomal RNA", at positions 338 to 795 of the family's 1533-position model. The record is from RNAcentral.